CUCGAUCCUAUCUUCCAAGCAAAGUAUCAGAGAUAGUUGCAAUUUGGAGGAAAGACUUGAAUAAGGUUAACCCCAAAGCUGCUGAUUCAUUGGCUGAUCCUGAGGAGUAUCCUAAUUUGUUUGAUGACUGGCAAGUUGCACUUUCUGUUGAAUCUAGAGCUGCACAGGACAGGGGAGUUUUUACCCCUGCAGAAGAGUAUGGUAAUCUUGCUGAUAAGCCAUACACGACGCUUGUGGAAGCAUUUAGAAGUAUGCAAAUAGAAGGACAUCUUGAAAAUGGAGACGUCGAUCAUGAGGACACGGAACAUGAACAGAACGG
This 319-nucleotide unclassified non-coding RNA is filed under the name Hevea brasiliensis (rubber tree). The record is from RNAcentral. Lineage: Eukaryota; Viridiplantae; Streptophyta; Magnoliopsida; Malpighiales; Euphorbiaceae.